This 265-nucleotide long non-coding RNA is filed under the name Lathyrus oleraceus (garden pea). RNAcentral's name for it is "Pisum sativum (pea) long non-coding RNA (PSAT_LNC000382)". Lineage: Eukaryota; Viridiplantae; Streptophyta; Magnoliopsida; Fabales; Fabaceae. The record is from RNAcentral.
AUAAGCAUAGCAUAUUGCAAAAUAAUCGCGUAGCAUUUCCAUGAUUAUGGAGCAUUACGCAGAAAAAUCAAUCAUGCAUCAUAUUACAAGCAUAAGCUAGUCUCAGACUGUGGUUACUGUUUGAGAGGUGGUUUUGCCCGAAGGUGAGGAUGUACUCCGAGGAGUUUUGGCAUCAAUGAUAUUCCCCAGUAGUGCGAUAUUGGAGGAAGGGUUUCUGUCGAGCGGAGAUGGGAAUGUUAACCGAGAAAGUUUCGGAGUUCAAAAG